This 255-nucleotide ribosomal RNA is filed under the name uncultured bacterium. RNAcentral's name for it is "partial 16S ribosomal RNA". It matches the Rfam family "Bacterial small subunit ribosomal RNA", at positions 524 to 778 of the family's 1533-position model. The record is from RNAcentral.
UACGUAGGGGGCAAGCGUUGUCCGGAUUUAUUGGGCGUAAAGAGCGUGUAGGCGGCCAUACAGGUCAGCUGUGAAAACUCGAGGCUCAACCUCGAGACGUCGGUUGAAACCGUAUGGCUAGAGUCCGGAAGAGGAGAGUGGAAUUCCCGGUGUAGCGGUGAAAUGCGCAGAUAUCGGGAAGAACACCCGUGGCGAAGGCGGCUCUCUGGGACGGUACUGACGCUGAGACGCGAAAGCGUGGGGAGCGAACGCGAG